GACGAACGCUGGCGGCGUGCUUAACACAUGCAAGUCGAACGGAAAGGCCCUGCUUUUGUGGGGUGCUCGAGUGGCGAACGGGUGAGUAACACGUGAGUAACCUGCCCUUGACUUUGGGAUAACUUCAGGAAACUGGGGCUAAUACCGGAUAGGAGCUCCUGCUGCAUGGUGGGGGUUGGAAAGUUUCGGCGGUUGGGGAUGGACUCGCGGCUUAUCAGCUUGUUGGUGGGGUAGUGGCUUACCAAGGCUUUGACGGGUAGCCGGCCUGAGAGGGUGACCGGCCAAAUUGGGAAUUGGAUACGGGCCCGACUCCUACGGGAGGCAGCAGUGGGGAAUAUUGCACAAUGGGCGGAAGCCUGAUGCAGCAACGCCGCGUGCGGGAUGACGGCCUUCGGGUUGUAAACCGCUUUCGCCUGUGACGAAGCGUGAGUGACGGUAAUGGGUAAAGAAGCACCGGCUAACUACGUG
RNAcentral lists this ribosomal RNA (468 nucleotides) under uncultured bacterium. Its description in RNAcentral is "partial 16S ribosomal RNA". It matches the Rfam family "Bacterial small subunit ribosomal RNA", at positions 28 to 507 of the family's 1533-position model. The record is from RNAcentral.